Molecule: ribosomal RNA, 635 nt
Filed under: Penicillium sp. NRRL 28214
Lineage: Eukaryota; Fungi; Ascomycota; Eurotiomycetes; Eurotiales; Aspergillaceae
Description: eukaryotic LSU rRNA
Rfam family: Eukaryotic large subunit ribosomal RNA
Source: RNAcentral
GUUGACCUCGGAUCAGGUAGGGAUACCCGCUGAACUUAAGCAUAUCAAUAAGCGGAGGAAAAGAAACCAACAGGGAUUGCCUCAGUAACGGCGAGUGAAGCGGCAAGAGCUCAAAUUUGAAAGCUGGCUCCUUCGGGGUCCGCAUUGUAAUUUGCAGAGGAUGCUUCGGGAGCGGCCCCCAUCUAAGUGCCCUGGAACGGGCCGUCAUAGAGGGUGAGAAUCCCGUCUGGGAUGGGGUGUCCGCGCCCGUGUGAAGCUCCUUCGACGAGUCGAGUUGUUUGGGAAUGCAGCUCUAAAUGGGUGGUAAAUUUCAUCUAAAGCUAAAUACUGGCCGGAGACCGAUAGCGCACAAGUAGAGUGAUCGAAAGAUGAAAAGCACUUUGAAAAGAGAGUUAAACAGCACGUGAAAUUGUUGAAAGGGAAGCGCUUGCGACCAGACUCGCUCGCGGGGUUCAGCCGGCAUUCGUGCCGGUGUACUUCCCCGCGAGCGGGCCAGCGUCGGUUUGGGCGGCCGGUCAAAGGCCCUCGGAAUGUAACGCCCCCCGGGGCGUCUUAUAGCCGAGGGUGCCAUGCGGCCAGCCCGGACCGAGGAACGCGCUUCGGCUCGGACGCUGGCAUAAUGGUCGUAAGCGACC